RNAcentral lists this ribosomal RNA (681 nucleotides) under Trichoderma harzianum. RNAcentral's name for it is "eukaryotic LSU rRNA". The stretch from base 181 to 334 matches the Rfam family "5.8S ribosomal RNA". The record is from RNAcentral. Lineage: Eukaryota; Fungi; Ascomycota; Sordariomycetes; Hypocreales; Hypocreaceae.
CCAAUGUGAACGUUACCAAACUGUUGCCUCGGCGGGAUCUCUGCCCCGGGUGCGUCGCAGCCCCGGACCAAGGCGCCCGCCGGAGGACCAACCAAAACUCUUAUUGUAUACCCCCUCGCGGGUUUUUUUAUAAUCUGAGCCUUCUCGGCGCCUCUCGUAGGCGUUUCGAAAAUGAAUCAAAACUUUCAACAACGGAUCUCUUGGUUCUGGCAUCGAUGAAGAACGCAGCGAAAUGCGAUAAGUAAUGUGAAUUGCAGAAUUCAGUGAAUCAUCGAAUCUUUGAACGCACAUUGCGCCCGCCAGUAUUCUGGCGGGCAUGCCUGUCCGAGCGUCAUUUCAACCCUCGAACCCCUCCGGGGGGUCGGCGUUGGGGAUCGGCCCUGCCUUGGCGGUGGCCGUCUCCGAAAUACAGUGGCGGUCUCGCCGCAGCCUCUCCUGCGCAGUAGUUUGCACACUCGCAUCGGGAGCGCGGCGCGUCCACAGCCGUUAAACACCCAACUUCUGAAAUGUUGACCUCGGAUCAGGUAGGAAUACCCGCUGAACUUAAGCAUAUCAUAAGCCGGAGGAACUUUACCGAGUUUACAACUCCCAAACCCAAUGUGAACGUUACCAAACUGUUGCCUCGGCGGGAUCUCUGCCCCGGGUGCGUCGCAGCCCCGGACCAAGGCGCCCGCCGGAGGA